This 452-nucleotide unclassified non-coding RNA is filed under the name Hevea brasiliensis (rubber tree). Lineage: Eukaryota; Viridiplantae; Streptophyta; Magnoliopsida; Malpighiales; Euphorbiaceae. The record is from RNAcentral.
CUUAUUUCAAAAGAAGAAUAUGCACAAAUUGGGAGUGUGACUCUCACUAAUAUCUUAAAAGAAAAGUUGCUGAAGGAAGGGAGAAAACCAUAUGUUAUUCCCGUUGGUGGAUCAAACCCCAUAGGAACUUGGGGUUAUAUUGAAGCAAUAAGGGAAAUUGAGCAACAAGUUCAGGCUAGUUCUGGCAGAUUAAAAUUUGAUGAUAUUGUUGUAGCAUGUGGCAGUGGAGGAACAAUUGCUGGUCUGUCACUAGGAUCAUGUUUCGGUGCUUUGAAGGCAAAAGUUCAUGCGUUCUCUGUCUGUGAUGACCCUGAUUACUUUUAUGACUUUGUUCAAGCCCUUAUUGAGGGACUCAAAGCAGGCGUUAACUCACGUGACAUUGUACACAUUCAAAAUGCCAAAGGUCUGGGCUAUGCAAUGAAUGCCUCUGAUGAGCUUCAGUUUGUCCAGGA